Molecule: transfer RNA, 71 nt
Filed under: Phrynosoma platyrhinos (Desert horned lizard)
Lineage: Eukaryota; Metazoa; Chordata; Lepidosauria; Squamata; Phrynosomatidae
Description: tRNA-OTHER
Source: RNAcentral
GCCAAAGUGGUGUAGUGGUUUGAGCAUUGGACUACGACUCUGGAGACCAGAGUUCAAAUCCCUGUUCGGCA